RNAcentral lists this long non-coding RNA (497 nucleotides) under Salvia miltiorrhiza (redroot sage). Its description in RNAcentral is "long non-coding RNA (SMIL_LNC008409)". Lineage: Eukaryota; Viridiplantae; Streptophyta; Magnoliopsida; Lamiales; Lamiaceae. The record is from RNAcentral.
GGUGUGUUUGAUAGGGUUUAUUAUGUGAGAUAGAUAAUAUUUCUCACCAUUUCUAAGUGUUUGAUAGGCUAUCUCAAUAAUCUUCCAGGCCCGCAAAAGAGGUGAAGCCCGCACCAAAACACUGUAGCAUUUAGAAAAUACAUCCGCCCCACCCCACCGGAUCGGUUUUCUCACUUUGAACAGUGAUUGAGAUUAGGUUUUGUGUUUCCAAUUUUCUCCCUGAAGUUAGUUCAAAAUCGGUACACAGCGAAGAUGAGUUCUUCAGUCGAAUCCCCUUGAAUGUAAGAUCUGCGAAAUUGUUUUUGGGCAUGCAAAGAUUUUGUUCUCAAUGCUUUCUCUUUCGCCAGAUUUGUUUGCUUUUGAUACAAAUCUGAAAGGGGCGGUGGAAGCUUACCGGGAGGAGAUAAGAGCUGCUCGCGACGGCGACAGGGAGACGGGACGCGAUUUUAUUUUAGGUUGGGGGCGACGGGAGACAUGAAUUUGAGGGUGGGGCAUGG